This 1505-nucleotide long non-coding RNA is filed under the name Amborella trichopoda. RNAcentral describes it as "long non-coding RNA (ATRI_LNC001260)". Lineage: Eukaryota; Viridiplantae; Streptophyta; Magnoliopsida; Amborellales; Amborellaceae. The record is from RNAcentral.
UGCCCAAAUUUUGUUUGAUUCAAUCAAUCCAAUAAAAGCUACAGACGUGACUGAAAAAUGUUGUUUGGGUGGUUUAAUACCCCACCAAACCCUUUCCUCCAUUUUUAAAUCUCAAAAUGACCUUAUUACCCCUGCCAUUUUGAAAAAAUUGACGGACGGAUUAUGCAGUAUGAUGCUGUCGAUGUGGGAUGCGGCUCUGAUACAGAGGGAUGCAGAUGCAGGCAGAUCUCUCCAAACCGCAUAUGCAGGAAAUUGCGAUGCACUGGGUGGCGCAUAACGCCUAAUGCAGAAUGCAGCCGCAUUUUAAAACGUUGUACCAAACAUGCAAAUGGAGUUCUUCAGUCAAGCUGUUUCCUUUUGUAGCUAUACAACUAGCGCUACACAUCCGGGUUCUAUGAGUGAACAACACCAUAAUAUGUUGCUCCAGCUGGCUCGCCAAACAUAAGCAGUUACUCCAAUUAAAAUGUUGAAUUUAUCUGGAUCUCUAUAACAGAAUACAUGUAUAUAUGAAUAUCCUAGUAAUCGAAAUAAAUCGUGAGACUGUACUCUCUCCCACUCAAUUAUAGCACAUAUUGGUUAAGUUUCUUGAUCUUGCCUCCCCGGCUCUAGGUGAUCGGGUGAUACGUAUCUCGGGUUCGAAAGACCCCGGACUUGAGAUGGCUUCUCGAGAACCUUGCUCACAGAAUAAAGGCACGUGUCCAACUAGUGAGAGAGGGAUUUGGGUCGUAAAGCCAGACUUUCCUCACGUAGGUCCGUGACACACUCGAGCUGGCCCACGUGGGCACCCUCUUAAAUCACGUUGGAAAGCUCCCCUGGCCUAUGGCCGGUUUGGAAUCGCCUCCCUUGACCUAUUUUAUCCUUUCCUGUAAACAUACACUCACGCAUUAAAAAUAUAGACAAGUGGGGCAUAAGUCCCCACCUUGUGCUGAUGGUGAAUGAGAUGAAAUAAAAUGAGAAAGAUGAAUUAAAAUAAAAUAAGAUUAGAAGAUGGAAUUAAGAUGAAACAAAAAUAAAAUGGAUUAAAAUAAAAUGAAAUAAAAGAAAAUAAAUAAAAAGGGAUAAAAGAAAAUAAGAUAAAAUGGGGUAAAUGAAAUAAAGUAAAAUAAAUUAAAAUAGAGUAAAGUAAAAUAAAAUAUAAAGGAUGGAAAAAAAUAAAAUAAGAUGAUUAAAAUAAAAUAAAUGAAUGGAGUAAUGGUAAAUAAAUUAAAAUAGAGUAAGGUAAAUAAAAUAAAUGAAAUAAAAUGAGUAAAAUCAAAUGAAAUAGGAGAAAAUAAAUUAAUAUGAAUGAGAUAAAAUAAAGUGAGGGAACAUAAGAUGGAGUGAAAUAAAAACAAAUAGCAUGAAAUAAGCUUAGGGUAAAAUGAUAAAUAAAGAAAAAGGGGAAGGCUUGUUAUUGGAUUGUUUGGGUAUUAUGUGAAUAUAAGAGGAUAACAUUGGAUAAGAGAAAAAAGAAUAAAUUUUGUUUCUUAGAGAGAGAGAGAGAGAGAGAGAGAGAGAGAGUAAUU